This 465-nucleotide ribosomal RNA is filed under the name uncultured Klebsiella sp. Its description in RNAcentral is "bacterial SSU rRNA". It matches the Rfam family "Bacterial small subunit ribosomal RNA", at positions 338 to 795 of the family's 1533-position model. Lineage: Bacteria; Pseudomonadati; Pseudomonadota; Gammaproteobacteria; Enterobacterales; Enterobacteriaceae. The record is from RNAcentral.
CCUACGGGGGGCAGCAGUGGGGAAUAUUGCACAAUGGGCGCAAGCCUGAUGCAGCCAUGCCGCGUGUGUGAAGAAGGCCUUCGGGUUGUAAAGCACUUUCAGCGGGGAGGAAGGCGUUAAGGUUAAUAACCUUGUCGAUUGACGUUACCCGCAGAAGAAGCACCGGCUAACUCCGUGCCAGCAGCCGCGGUAAUACGGAGGGUGCAAGCGUUAAUCGGAAUUACUGGGCGUAAAGCGCACGCAGGCGGUCUGUCAAGUCGGAUGUGAAAUCCCCGGGCUCAACCUGGGAACUGCAUUCGAAACUGGCAGGCUAGAGUCUUGUAGAGGGGGGUAGAAUUCCAGGUGUAGCGGUGGAAUGCGUAGAGAUCUGGAGGAAUACCGGUGGCGAAGGCGGCCCCCUGGACAAAGACUGACGCUCAGGUGCGAAAGCGUGGGGAGCAAACAGGAUUAGAUACCCCAGUAGUC